Molecule: long non-coding RNA, 1243 nt
Organism: Arachis duranensis
Lineage: Eukaryota; Viridiplantae; Streptophyta; Magnoliopsida; Fabales; Fabaceae
Exons: 3
Source: RefSeq, a predicted model, not a curated record
GUUGGUUGGCUAAUUUUGAAUUGCGAAAGAAAAUGUUUGGUGAUUGGUAUCUAGUUAUUUAAUUUUACUUCGAUGUUAUGAUAUAAUGAUUAUGCUAAAGUGCUAAUACAAAUAAUAAACAUGUACCUUAUUUUCAAAUUUGAUUUAGAGGGCACUGGAAAUCACCAUUGUUUGAAUUGAUUGUUGAGUGGUUCUAAUUGAUUGUUAAUUGUUAAUAUACUCGAUCGUUACAAUACGAUUAUUGAUUGCCUAAUUAGGCAUCGUUGCCAAUUGAAAAAUAUUGAUUGUGAAUGUGACCGUAUGAUUAGAAUUAAAUAAUAUUUUCUAUUAGAAUUGAUUGAUAACUGUUAAUAGAUGGAUAGAAUUGAUUAGUAAUUGCUUGAUUGAUUAAUUUUAAAUCGAUAAUAAACUCUGUUGCUUCUUUCAAAUAACUAAUUUCUUAAUUGAAAUUGAUAUUUUUCAGUUUCUCCUUCAGAUCUUCACAUAAAAGAUAUUGAAUUAUUCUAGUAAUAUAUGUAUGUUAUGCACUUUCUAAUUUUGUUAAUAACAUAAAAGUUAUGCGUGUUUGUUGUGAUUAUGUGAAAAGAAACUGAUCGUAACUUUUUGUAUGUCACAUCAGUGAUUUGUGAUUUUGCUUUACGAAUGCAAUAAUCAUAGCACAAAGGCCACACAUAUAUUUUCGGAAGAUCUCCUUGAAAAGUUUGAGUUGUUAAUUGUAAUUGCUAUAUUUCUCCUUGGUUGGUUGAGUUUAGAAUUAUGGAAUAACAAUGAGAGGUGUUUCGGAAUAUCUAGGUAUAUAAAAUGAAUAACAAAAAUUAUAAUCCCAGCAAUUUCCAAAAUAUUUCAAUAUUCACAUCUUCAUAUAUUUUUGUUAAGUAGUUUGGAAUUAAUUGCAUUAUUUACUGUUUGGGAUCUGUAUCUGUACCCAUCUUGUUCAGGGAUCUAACUGUUUUUUUUUACUGUAUUUAACUUUUUUUUGAACCUUCCUCCCGAGUUGAAUUCCUCACGACCUGGCUGAAAGCAUCUGCUGUUUCCCUCGGUAAAGUUUCUCUUGUAUAUCUCGACUAAAAGAUAAUUCCUAAUAAACAGUGAGCAACAGGAAGCAUUGCAUGUCAAGAUGCUGAUAUGAUACAUAUCUACAUAUAAGGGACCUGCUGAUGUGAGUGCCAUAUUUACAUUGAAAGGAGCUUCAUAAAGGUGGACUAAAUAACAACAACGUACAAAGAGAGCUCCACAAACAGGU